GCUCAGGACGAACGCUGGCGGCGUGCCUAAUACAUGCAAGUCGAACGCGUCUCCGUUAAUGAUUUUAGGUGCUUGCACUUGAAAGAUUUAACAUUGAGACGAGUGGCGAACUGGUGAGUAACACGUGGGUAACCUGCCCUUGAAGUAGGGGAUAACACUUGGAAACAGGUGCUAAUACCGUAUAACAACCAAAACCACCUGGUUUUGGUUUAAAAGACGGCUUCGGCUGUCACUUUAGGAUGGACCCGCGGCGUAUUAGCUUGUUGGUAAGGUAACGGCCUACCAAGGCGAUGAUACGUAGCCGACCUGAGAGGGUAAUCGGCCACAUUGGGACUGAGACACGGCCCAAACUCCUACGGGAGGCAGCAGUAGGGAAUCUUCCACAAUGGACGAAAGUCUGAUGGAGCAACGCCGCGUGAGUGAUGAAGGGUUUCGGCUCGUAAAACUCUGUUGUUGGAGAAGAACAGGUGUCAGAGUAACUGUUGACAUCUUGACGGUAUCCAACCAGAAAGCCACGGCUAACUACGUGCCAGCAGCCGCGGUAAUACGUAGGUGGCAAGCGUUGUCCGGAUUUAUUGGGCGUAAAGCGAGCGCAGGCGGUUUUUUAGGUCUGAUGUGAAAGCCUUCGGCUUAACCGGAGAAGUGCAUCGGAAACCGGGAGACUUGAGUGCAGAAGAGGACAGUGGAACUCCAUGUGUAGCGGUGAAAUGCGUAGAUAUAUGGAAGAACACCAGUGGCGAAGGCGGCUGUCUGGUCUGUAACUGACGCUGAGGCUCGAAAGCAUGGGUAGCGAACAGGAUUAGAUACCCUGGUAGUC
Molecule: ribosomal RNA, 817 nt
Filed under: Lentilactobacillus buchneri
Lineage: Bacteria; Bacillati; Bacillota; Bacilli; Lactobacillales; Lactobacillaceae
Description: bacterial SSU rRNA
Rfam family: Bacterial small subunit ribosomal RNA
Source: RNAcentral